RNAcentral lists this ribosomal RNA (335 nucleotides) under uncultured bacterium. RNAcentral describes it as "bacterial SSU rRNA". It matches the Rfam family "Bacterial small subunit ribosomal RNA", at positions 29 to 376 of the family's 1533-position model. The record is from RNAcentral.
AGCGAACGCUGGCGGCAGGCCUAAUACAUGCAAGUCGAACGAAGCCUUCGGGCUUAGUGGCGGACGGGUGAGUAACACGUGGGAACGUACCCUUUGGUUCGGAACAACUCAGGGAAACUUGAGCUAAUACCGAAUGUGCCCCCAUCCUUAACAAGAUGGGUGGGAAAGAUUUAUCGCCAUUGGAGCGGCCCGCGUCUGAUUAGCUAGUUGGUGAGGUAAAGGCCCACCAAGGCUACGAUCAGUAGCUGGUCUGAGAGGAUGAUCAGCCACACUGGGACUGAGACACGGCCCAGACUCCUACGGGAGGCAGCAGUAGGGAAUCUUGCGCAAUGGGC